GCAUCCACCUACUCUCGAGAGAGGCUUUCGCGAUUCGCGGAGCAUUGAUACCCCUUCAGCACAGAAGCUUGCAGCAACGUUGCGAGACUACUGCGUGGAAAUUACGGACAAGCAACGACAACUUUUUACCGCGCGCAACAAGAGAAACCUGGGACGGAUGACUGUAUUAAAAUUCACUUUUCCUCUUGCUCAGCUUUUUCAGAUUAUCAAGGCUUAAAGUCUUUCAAAUAAAGCCCGUCUUCCUCUAAGCCAUUUUCUGAGCCAGGUAAAGCUAAAUAUUUAUUCUGUUAUACUGUUAUAACUAUUAUAUCGAUACAUGAGCAUAUAUGCGAGACGCUUUUUUCUCACAUUUAUUUAUGUUGUGUUUCUACACUUUUAUGUGAGUUUCUGAUUGUAAUGGGCUUUAUUCAGUGGUAAAUAAUAUCGAUAUGUGUGUAACGAGAUCGCUGGAUACGAUGGACCAUUUUCAAGCUCUCGAUCCUUCACAUUUAUACUGCUAUUUAUCAAGCUGUCACGAUUAAUAUAUUGUGUAGUUUACUUGCAUUUUUAUCUCUGUAAGCUAAUUGACUAAAGACUGAAUUUUAUCUUAAAUAGAAAUACAGUAUCUCGAUGAAUCCCGAUAAACGAUACUGUAUCGCGCGCACAAGCAUCGCUUAUGCCGCCACGAUGGACGCCAAGGCGAAUAUAUGUCCGGCGUCAGUAAUUAUCACGACAGCGUGUAUUAAUUGGACCGUGCGUACGUUACAUGAAUAAACAUGAGGUCGUCGAUCACGUAAAUUCACUCCUGGCGACGGUUUCGGAGCUCAGAAGAGAGCCGCGCCGCGCGAUCCACCGUAAAGUCGACAACGGGAAGGUGCUUUAUUUUUAGUGGCGGUUAUUUACAGAGAGAAAAGCAGAAUCGAUGAAAUACGUGGAUGAUCAUUGCGCGAUUGUUCCUCAGCGAUUUGCGAGGAAUUCACUCUCGCGAAGGUCGAAAUAGUCGCUGCUGGAAAAUCAAAGACGCGUGUUUCGCCUGAAAAUUAAACGUAUGUUUUUUUUCAUUGAAAGAUGUAAAGUAAAUAAAAAUAAUUCUUAUAUCUAGAUUUGUUGAAACUGUGAUAACGUAAUUUUCUAUAGGAAAUAUUGCGUAACUUUCCGUAUGAAAUAUCCGAAAUAUUAGGAUUUAAUCUACAAGCCAAUAAAAAUGUUGUAUUAAAUAAAAUUUCCUACUUGCAAUAAAAAAAUAAUGAAGUCGAUUGAUGAAUUGUGUACCUUCAGAAGGCUACUUUCCGGUUAUCCCCUGUCCCCUGAUUUAUCGGUGUUUAUUAUUUUAUCAAAGGCAGUAAGCCUGUAAUAUGGUCAGUCGGCAAAGCUGUUCAAUCGCCAAUCUUAUAAUGCAAGUACAUAAAAAACUAAAACUCUAGGUAAGAUAAUAUUUUUACUAUAAAUAAAGAAAAAUAAUUUAUGAAAAAGUUUUUUCAUAAAAUAUUUUCUUAUAUAAAUAUAUGACUCAAUGAAAAUGAUUGCGAAUGAGAUCGGCAUCAGCUAGAAUGUAAUCAGCAUCAACUCGAUACAAAGAAGAUACAAUCCUUACUGAAUUGUUAAUUAGAAAACGCAUAUUAAUUAAUAUAUCAACAACAUAUACAUUAAAAUUCUAGAUUAAGAAACUACAUCGCUAUUGAUAAUUUCGUGCGAAUCUUUUUUGUUUGCAGAUGCUAAUUGUUAUUUUGCUAUUUCUAUUUAAACACCUCGUAUUUUUAAAAGUAUUAAUGGAGAAUCUCGAUUAUAAGAAGGACAAUUUCAAGAUCAGGAAAACUGUUGACGGAACGCGAUUUGAGGUCUUCUCAUCUCUGCUGAGAUCUAUCCGUAACAUCAAGAGAAAUAUACCAUCUAGUUGACGGACGCUAUAUUACAAUCGUCAUCGAUUAUCUCGACGCAUGUCGAGCAACGCGCCGACUCAUCACACUGAUAACACCCGACAAUUUGAACACGCACCCGAUAAGUCAACAGGCGUUUCGAAUGACACUAAUGCCGAUUGCGUCGAGAUCACACUGACACAUCGCAAAACCAAUAUGCAUUAUUGACGUCAUGAUAAGCGACGAAUCCGGGCAAUUGACGAAAUACAGAUUUACGUGGUACAUAGAAAAUUAUAAUGAUCGAAAACGAAAUGAUCAGAUGUAUUCAAUGUUAAUAUUGAUUUUUACACGACUUCAUCGAUUCCGCGUAGCGAUGGCGUGAUUACUCUGAUACAUGAAUAUUCGGAAAUUCCUGACGACGCAGAGUCACUUACAGAGUACAUUGAAGAUACACGAGGAAAAUACAUGCUAUUAUAUUUUCUUAUCAUUAUUUAUUGUUUUUCAGACAGACUCUUUGAACAUAUAUUUACAGAGGAUUAUACAACAAACGAAGGAUGUUCGUUCUGUAAAGCACGCAUAUUGGUCACGCGAGAAAUUCAGUCUGGUUUUCUCACCGGCCAAAUUUAAAGAAUGACUCUUUCCUUAAUAAUGUAUACGUUGAUCAGCUCUUACGAAUGAUUAAUAAACGUUCUUAAUAAUUGCUAAGCUAAGCAACAAGGGAUGAUUACCGGCGUCGAUUUGGUUCUUUUUCAAAUAUGUUGUUAAAUAUGAAUAAUAGAGAUAUGUAUUUUUUAUACGUGCUUCAAUAUCAGUUGUCAAAGGAUGAAUUCUUCUUGUUUAAAAAUAUAUAUGAAAAAGAACCAACUCGAGGCCAGAUACUCGUGACAUUCUCUUUAUAAGAAAAAAGACAUUACUGCAUCCAUUGACCGAUAUUUUUACUUGAAAAAGUGGCGUAUAUUCGCUCUAAAAGAACACAAUGCUACUUUAUCUUCGCGCGUAGACCAAUAACGUCAUGCGUAUUCGUCUCUUAUCUACAAUGGUCCCCUUUGUAUUGAUUGUCUCAUGGUGCAACGUGAAUCGCCUUCUCACUUUUACGAGCGAUGCUUACGUCAAGUCGUAAAAAAACGAUUCCCAUCGUGCAGAAAGCGAUCGAGGUUCACCAUAAGGAAAGGUAGUUCUUCGAAAGAAAUCGCGAAGCGGUUGAUAAAAGUGAAAUAUAUUGCGAAAAACACGCGAAUACUUGGAAUAUCGGAAUAGCAAAUGAACAAAUUACGAUAUGAACGAUAUUCCAAAUAUGAAUCAAACAAGGAUUAGUAUUGGAUGUAUUAUUCUAAA
Molecule: long non-coding RNA, 3170 nt
Organism: Ooceraea biroi (clonal raider ant)
Lineage: Eukaryota; Metazoa; Arthropoda; Insecta; Hymenoptera; Formicidae
Source: RefSeq, a predicted model, not a curated record